RNAcentral lists this ribosomal RNA (409 nucleotides) under Austronemoura sp. BYU_PL149. RNAcentral describes it as "partial 12S ribosomal RNA". The stretch from base 52 to 409 matches the Rfam family "Microsporidia small subunit ribosomal RNA", at positions 752 to 1207 of the family's 1311-position model. The record is from RNAcentral. Lineage: Eukaryota; Metazoa; Arthropoda; Insecta; Plecoptera; Notonemouridae.
UAAACUACGAUUAGAUACCCUAUUAUUUUAAAUGUAAAAAUAUAGAUGCUUGAGUAGUAAUAGUUAUGUUCUUGAAACUCAAAGAAUUUGGCGGUGUUUUAGUCCUUUCAGAGGAACCUGUCCCGUAAUCGAUAUUCCACGUUUAACCUUACUUAAGUUUAUUUAGCUUGUAUACCGCCGUCGUCAGAAUGUCUUUAGAAAGAGUAAAAUUUUCUUAAAUUUUAAUUAAAAAUGAUGUCAGGUCAAGGUGCAGUUUAUGCUUAAGUGGAGAUGGGUUACAAUAAAUUUAUUUAAUUAUGGAUAUAUUUUUGCAAAUUAAAAUAUUGAAAGUGGAUUUGAUAGUAAUUUAAUUAGAUUUUAUUAAUUUGAUUUUGGCUCUAAAACAUGCACACAUCGCCCGUCGCUCUUA